GUUCUUGAGGAUGGACACGUUGUCAGGUUGUUUGGUUUGCAUUGCUUCAAUGAGAGCUGUGGUUUUCAGCCGCAAGAGCUGGCUUAGGGUCUUGGUUCGGUAGGUGUAAGACUGUGGUCUGCAGCAAAGUGCACCAACUUCUCCAAACAUGUCGAAUGUACGUAAAACACCCAACACUUGUUCUUUCUCCAUUGGAUUACAUUCUAUUAUUUCUACUUCACCCGAAACGAUUAUGUAGACUUCAUCAGGUGCUUCGUCUCGAAUUAUAACAUCUUCUCUUGGUGGUAUGAAUUCGGCCUUCAUGUCCGCAAUCUUAGGAGAAUUUCUCUGGAAACACCGUCGAACAGAUAAACUUUUUCAACUGUUGCUAAAAACAAAUGCAGUCUAAUGCUUU
RNAcentral lists this long non-coding RNA (394 nucleotides) under Helianthus annuus (common sunflower). Its description in RNAcentral is "sRNA HanXRQr2_Chr16g0750281". Lineage: Eukaryota; Viridiplantae; Streptophyta; Magnoliopsida; Asterales; Asteraceae. The record is from RNAcentral.